This 653-nucleotide unclassified non-coding RNA is filed under the name Hevea brasiliensis (rubber tree). Lineage: Eukaryota; Viridiplantae; Streptophyta; Magnoliopsida; Malpighiales; Euphorbiaceae. The record is from RNAcentral.
CAGUGUGCCGUUGAUAUGACAAGCCAUGAGCAUCUCAAUGCCACCCAGAAACUUGCCACCCACAAAGAUGGCGGGGACUGGCUGCUGCCCGUCCGAUGCAAGCUGGAAGAGGACUGCCUGGAUGUCAGGACCAGCGAAGUGGUGGUCCAGCUCCACGAUGGUGGGGCCAACCCCAAGGCCAAAGAGGAGACGCUUGGCCACGGUGCACAUGCAGCACCCGCUCAUACUGAACAACACCACUGCGUUACUCGAAGCCAGAUGCCUCACGACCUCGUAUGGGUUGUCGAAAUGGUUCACUCCUUUUGACGUUGGAGGCUCGCUGUUGAUAGCCACACUGCUCGCCAUUCGGAUUCCCGAAGAUUUCUUUGCCACCUGCAUCUUUUUGCUCAAAAGCGUUCUUCUAAAGCAAAAGAUAUUAAUUUAGUGAGAGCAAGAAACGUAAAGACUGAUGAUUUCUUAAAUCUCUGAUGUGUGUGUCAAAGACCCGAAGUAGCCAGAGACAGAGAUCGAUCACGAAACAAAGAAGAAAAUGGAGGAUUUUGUAGGGAUCACUUGAAGUAAAAGAAACAAAAACAGUGACACACAGUGUUCUUUAUCGCAAAGCACAACGCUAAAACUAAUUAGAAAACUGGAUGAUGAAGACCUAGGGGUAG